Molecule: long non-coding RNA, 351 nt
Filed under: Urocitellus parryii (Arctic ground squirrel)
Lineage: Eukaryota; Metazoa; Chordata; Mammalia; Rodentia; Sciuridae
Description: lncRNA (ENSUPAG00010016329.1)
Source: RNAcentral
CUCUUUUCUGCCUGAUCAUCAUGUGAGCUGCUUCCCUCCACCAGAAUCUUCUGCCACGAUAUUCGGCCUCCCCUUGAGCCCUGAGGAGUGGAGCCUGCUGUCUAUGGAUUGAGACCUCUCUGAAACCGUGAACCCUCACAUAAACUUUUCCUCCUCUGUGAUUGUUCUGGUCAGGUCUUGUAGUCACAGCAGAGGGAAAAGCUGAUGAAAGCAACCAGGCUGGGAUGAAAACCAGAGUCACAUCAUCUUUUCCACUCAUCCAGUUUUUAAUAGGUGGAGUAUUGGGAAGAUCCUCUAUGUGUAAAGAUUUCUAGAGUGGAAAUCACCCAAGCUCAUCAGGGCUCACAUUGG